This 496-nucleotide ribosomal RNA is filed under the name uncultured bacterium. RNAcentral describes it as "partial 16S ribosomal RNA". It matches the Rfam family "Bacterial small subunit ribosomal RNA", at positions 28 to 506 of the family's 1533-position model. The record is from RNAcentral.
GAUGAACGCUGGCGGCGUGCCUAAUACAUGCAAGUCGAGCGAACAGACGAGGAGCUUGCUCCUCUGACGUUAGCGGCGGACGGGUGAGUAACACGUGGAUAACCUACCUAUAAGACUGGGAUAACUUCGGGAAACCGGAGCUAAUACCGGAUAAUAUAUUGAACCGCAUGGUUCAAUAGUGAAAGACGGUUUUGCUGUCACUUAUAGAUGGAUCCGCGCCGCAUUAGCUAGUUGGUAAGGUAACGGCUUACCAAGGCAACGAUGCGUAGCCGACCUGAGAGGGGGAUCGGCCACACUGGAACUGAGACACGGUCCAGACUCCUACGGGAGGCAGCAGUAGGGAAUCUGCCGCAAUGGGCGAAAGCCUGACGGAGCAACGCCGCGUGAGUGAUGAAGGUCUGCGGAUCGUAAAACUCUGUUAUUAGGGAAGAGCAAAUGUGUAAGUAACUAAGCACGUCUUGACGGUACCUAAUCAGAAAGCCACGGCUAACUACGU